UGGAAGUGAUGAAAUAGAGAUAUAUGGAUGUCUCUUUGAAUGGGGUGUGUGUGUGUGUUAAAUGGAAUUUAAAUCAAGUCAGACUGGGGGUGGGGUGUGUGUGUGGGGGUGUGUGUAGUAAAGGCUUGAAAUGGGGGCACUGAUGAAGCAGUGCUGAUUCCGGAGUGCAUCUGAGGCAUGUUGGUGAAUUCUGGGGUGCCACUUUACAACAUUGCCGAUGAUUAAAGCCCAAAACAAGCCCACCAAGACAAGCCUGGGCAUCCUUGAUCUCUAACAGGGUCAUUAGUGAAAGUGAUCCUGUGAUCUGAUCCAA
Molecule: small nucleolar RNA, 313 nt
Filed under: Merops nubicus (carmine bee-eater)
Lineage: Eukaryota; Metazoa; Chordata; Aves; Coraciiformes; Meropidae
Description: Small Cajal body-specific RNA 7
Rfam family: Small Cajal body-specific RNA 7
Source: Rfam by way of RNAcentral